CUACGGGUGGCUGCAGUGGGGAAUAUUGCACAAUGGACGAAAGUCUGAUGCAGCAACGCCGCGUGGAGGAUGACACAUUUCGGUGCGUAAACUCCUUUUAUAUAGGAAGAUAAUGACGGUACUAUAUGAAUAAGCACCGGCUAACUCCGUGCCAGCAGCCGCGGUAAUACGGAGGGUGCAAGCGUUACUCGGAAUCACUGGGCGUAAAGAGCGUGUAGGCGGAUAGAUAAGUCAGGAGUGAAACCCUAUGGCUCAACCAUAGAACUGCUCUUGAAACUGUCAAUCUAGAGUGUGGGAGAGGUAGAUGGAAUUUCUGGUGUAGGGGUAAAAUCCGUAGAGAUCAGAAGGAAUACCGAUUGCGAAGGCGAUCUACUGGAACAUAACUGACGCUGAGACGCGAAAGCGUGGGGAGCAAACAGGAUUAGAUACCCCCGUAGUC
Molecule: ribosomal RNA, 439 nt
Filed under: uncultured bacterium
Lineage: Bacteria
Description: partial 16S ribosomal RNA
Rfam family: Bacterial small subunit ribosomal RNA
Source: RNAcentral